GUGCUCGCUCUGGCAGCACAUAUACUAAUUGGAACGAUACAGAGAAGAUUAGCAUGGCCUCUGUGCAAGGACAACACGCAAAUUCAUGAAACGUUCUGUAUUUUU
Molecule: small nuclear RNA, 105 nt
Organism: Cavia aperea (Brazilian guinea pig)
Lineage: Eukaryota; Metazoa; Chordata; Mammalia; Rodentia; Caviidae
Source: Ensembl